Molecule: ribosomal RNA, 478 nt
Filed under: uncultured bacterium
Lineage: Bacteria
Description: partial 16S ribosomal RNA
Rfam family: Bacterial small subunit ribosomal RNA
Source: RNAcentral
GAUGAACGCUAGCGGGAGGCCUAACACAUGCAAGCCGAGCGGUAUUUGUUCUUCGGAACAGAGAGAGCGGCGCACGGGUGCGGAACACGUGUGCAACCUGCCUUUAUCUGGGGGAUAGCCUUUCGAAAGGAAGAUUAAUACCCCAUAAUAUAUUGAGUGGCAUCAUUUGAUAUUGAAAACUCCGGUGGAUAGAGAUGGGCACGCGCAAGAUUAGAUAGUUGGUGAGGUAACGGCUCACCAAGUCAAUGAUCUUUAGGGGGCCUGAGAGGGUGAUCCCCCACACUGGUACUGAGACACGGACCAGACUCCUACGGGAGGCAGCAGUGAGGAAUAUAGGACAAUGGGUUAGCGCCUGAUCCAGCCAUCCCGCGUGAAGGACGACGGCCCUAUGGGUUGUAAACUUCUUUUGUAUAGGGAUAAACCUCUCUCGUGAGAGUAGCUGAAGGUACUAUACGAAUAAGCACCGGCUAACUCCGUG